This 427-nucleotide ribosomal RNA is filed under the name uncultured bacterium. RNAcentral's name for it is "partial 16S ribosomal RNA". It matches the Rfam family "Bacterial small subunit ribosomal RNA", at positions 355 to 774 of the family's 1533-position model. The record is from RNAcentral.
UGGGGAAUAUUGCACAAUGGGCGCAAGCCUGAUGCAGCCAUGCCGCGUGUAUGAAGAAGGCCUUCGGGUUGUAAAGUACUUUCAGCGAGGAGGAAGGCGUUGUGGUUAAUAACCGCAACGAUUGACGUUACUCGCAGAAGAAGCACCGGCUAACUCCGUGCCAGCAGCCGCGGUAAUACGGAGGGUGAAAGCGUUAAUCGGAAUUACUGGGCGUAAAGCGCACGCAGGCGGUCUGUCAAGUCGGAUGUGAAAUCCCCGGGCUCAACCUGGGAACUGCUUCCGAAACUGGCAGGCUAGAGUCUUGUAGAGGGGGGUAGAAUUCCAGGUGUAGCGGUGAAAUGCGUAGAGAUCUGGAGGAAUACCGGUGGCGAAGGCGGCCCCCUGGACAAAGACUGACGCUCAGGUGCGAAAGCGUGGGGAGCAAACA